GCAUAACGCGAAGAACCUUACCAGGUCUUGACAUCCCUCUGACCGAUCCUUAACCGGAUCUUCUCUUCGGAGCAGAGGUGACAGGUGGUGCAUGGUUGUCGUCAGCUCGUGUCGUGAGAUGUUGGGUUAAGUCCCGCAACGAGCGCAACCCUUAUCCUUUAGUAGCCAGCAGUUCGGCUGGGCACUCUAGAGAGACUGCCAGGGAUAACCUGGAGGAAGGUGGGAUGACGUCAAAUCAUCAUGCCCCUUAUGAUCUGGGCUACACACGUGCUACAAUGGUGAUAACAAAGUGAAGCAGCCUCGUGAGAGUGAGCAAAUCACAAAAAGUACAUCUCAGUUCGGAUUGUAGUCUGCAACUCGACUACAUGAAGCUGGAAUCGCUAGUAAUCGCGAAUCAGAAUGUCGC
Molecule: ribosomal RNA, 406 nt
Filed under: uncultured bacterium
Lineage: Bacteria
Description: bacterial SSU rRNA
Rfam family: Bacterial small subunit ribosomal RNA
Source: RNAcentral